UACGUAGGUGGCAAGCGUUGUCCGGAUUUACUGGGCGUAAAGGGCGUGCAGGCGGUCUGUUAAGUGCAGGGUGAAAGCUCCCGGCUCAACUGGGAGAGGUCCUUGCAUACUGGCGGACUUGAGGGGGGUAGAGGAAAGUGGAAUUCCCGGUGUAGUGGUGAAAUGCGCAGAUAUCAGGAAGAACACCCGUGGCGAAAAGCGGCUCACUGGCCCGAUACUGACGCUGAGGCACGAAAGCGUGGGGAGCAAACAGG
This 254-nucleotide ribosomal RNA is filed under the name uncultured bacterium. Its description in RNAcentral is "partial 16S ribosomal RNA". It matches the Rfam family "Bacterial small subunit ribosomal RNA", at positions 524 to 776 of the family's 1533-position model. The record is from RNAcentral.